RNAcentral lists this ribosomal RNA (208 nucleotides) under uncultured bacterium. RNAcentral describes it as "partial 16S ribosomal RNA". It matches the Rfam family "Bacterial small subunit ribosomal RNA", at positions 524 to 729 of the family's 1533-position model. The record is from RNAcentral.
UACGUAGGGUGCAAGCGUUGUCCGGAAUUAUUGGGCGUAAAGGGCUCGUAGGCGGUUUGUCGCGUCUGCUGUGAAAUCCUCAGGCUCAACCUGGGGCUUGCAGUGGGGUACGGGCAGACUAGAGUGGCGGUAGGGGUGACUGGAAUUCCUGGUGUAGCGGUGGAAUGCGCAGAUAUCAGGAGGAACACCGAUGGCGAAGGCAGGUCUC